AGGAGUGAUUAUUUAAGCUGUUUUGCUGGCUGCUGUUGUCACACGCUUUCCCAGAAUCCUCCAGCCUCCUAAACGUUAAGUGUUGAUUUGUGGCAGGCUGCCCGACUUUCAAGCAGCCAAUUGUAGAACGGCAGAGCAUCUUCCACUGCAUCGGCUGAUAUUUCCUGCUCUCCCUCCUCCCCUUCGCAUUAUUGGGAAAGGAGUGCAGAUUUUAUCAGGAAACGGAUGCUUUGCUGAUAAGCUCUUAUUCAGCCAGGAAGAAUUUCACAGGUUUCAUGUCUACAUUAUGUAGGCAAUGUCUACUUGUCAAACAAAAGAAUUCUUCGGGUGUUUUCACACCUGUAGUUUGUUUGCUCUGGUCUGAAUCAGGGACCAAAUUUUUACAAUGUUGCAUAUUGCCUGGAGUUUGGUUUGUGUUCACACGGCAGCGUUUUUUCAAAUUUUGGUGCGCAAAGAAACUGUUCUCUAAUUGGUCAGAAUUUCCAUGCGUGAGAACUCACGGAAGUAAACAAAGAAGAGCAGACUUCCAGAACGCAACAAUGGAGGGACAACUACGUGGCUUGAUCUUGGCCCUGGUCAUCUUUUUUUUUUUUUUACCUCGUAGCAUUUUUUCACUCAAGACAAACGAUACAGUUUGAAAAUGAGGCGCAGCUGCGAAUGGAAAACUAUGUAUUAAUGUACUGGAAUUGCCGAAGGCGCAUAUCAAGACAGUUCAGAAGGAGGCGUGCAUUAACCCUCCUAAACUGUGACGUGCUGUGAUAUUUCCGAUUAUCCAUCAGGUCUGUCUGACUGUCCAUUUAUUUUGUUGAAAAUCAUCUCCUGGUCUUAAGGUUAUUAUCACGGGGAGUUCACGGGAAGUGUUGUUUGCCAAACCCAAGGUGGGAAGCUCAUUCGGGGACUCGUGUGCUUGAUAAAACAGCUUGGGCUCCAAAAUAAUCGAAACGAGCAAGGAUCAUUCUGCCGAGGCCUGGACAUGAGGAAUAACAUGAGAGUGAGAAUAUAUGUGCUGGCAGAAUGUGUCAGUAGACAUGUUGGCUAACGGUCUAUGCGAUGUCGUAUUAUCUGAAUUGUUGGCCCGUUCUCCUCUUUUCACAACUAUUCGAUUAUGUCCCAGGUUGACUUCUGGUUUCUGCUCAGCAUUUUCUCAAUGUGAAAAGAAACAUAGCAGAGAUGAUAGAAGAGGGAGAGAGAAAGUGUCAGCAACAGGUGCGUUGCAGGAGGAGCAGGUUCCACCGGAGCGUGACUGCCCUCACAGAAACAUGUCAACAGCACAUCAAUAACACACCAAACCGUCCUGUCAAGUCCACAGAGAGGAAACCGUAAUACCGCAUGCUUCCUCUCCCACGAAACCUUGUCGCUGAACCGGACCACCCAGUGAGAGACGCUGCAAACAAACACUGGUUCAUAUGUUGCUGCACAGAGACUAUUCAUCAACCUACUGGUACAAGUCACAGUGUCCACCACAGUUAGUGAUACCAGUUGAAAUGAGAGAGAUUUUUAACCCUCUGAGACCUGCGAUCCUGACUGACUUUACUGUCUUUCAGAGGCUCUAGUAGGUACGGUUUUAGUGAAGGCUAGA
Long non-coding RNA from Sebastes umbrosus (honeycomb rockfish), 1579 nucleotides. RefSeq lists it as uncharacterized. The record is from RefSeq and is a predicted model, not a curated record. The transcript has 3 exons. Lineage: Eukaryota; Metazoa; Chordata; Actinopteri; Perciformes; Sebastidae.